This 705-nucleotide ribosomal RNA is filed under the name uncultured bacterium. RNAcentral's name for it is "bacterial SSU rRNA". It matches the Rfam family "Bacterial small subunit ribosomal RNA", at positions 94 to 803 of the family's 1533-position model. The record is from RNAcentral.
AGCGGCGGACGGGUGAGUAAUGCAUAGGAAUCUGCCCGAUAGUGGGGGAUAACCUGGGGAAACCCAGGCUAAUACCGCAUACGUCCUACGGGAGAAAGGGGGCUCCGGCUCCCGCUAUGGGAUGAGCCUAUGUCGGAUUAGCUAGUUGGUGAGGUAACGGCUCACCAAGGCCACGAUCCGUAGCUGGUCUGAGAGGAUGAUCAGCCACAUCGGGACUGAGACACGGCCCGAACUCCUACGGGAGGCAGCAGUGGGGAAUAUUGGACAAUGGGGGAAACCCUGAUCCAGCCAUGCCGCGUGUGUGAAGAAGGCCCUCGGGUUGUAAAGCACUUUCAGCGAGGAAGAACGCCUAACGGUUAAUACCCGCUAGGAAAGACAUCACUCGCAGAAGAAGCACCGGCUAACUCCGUGCCAGCAGCCGCGGUAAUACGGAGGGUGCAAGCGUUAAUCGGAAUUACUGGGCGUAAAGCGCGCGUAGGUGGCUUGAUAAGCCGGUUGUGAAAGCCCCGGGCUCAACCUGGGAACGGCAUCCGGAACUGUCAAGCUAGAGUGCAGGAGAGGAAGGUAGAAUUCCCGGUGUAGCGGUGAAAUGCGUAGAGAUCGGGAGGAUUACCAGUGGCGAACGCGGUCUUCUGGACUGACACUGACACUGAGUGCGAAAGCGUGGUAGCAAACAGGAUUAGAUACCCUGGUAGUCCACGCCGA